This 101-nucleotide ribosomal RNA is filed under the name Carnobacterium divergens. RNAcentral's name for it is "partial 16S ribosomal RNA". It matches the Rfam family "Bacterial small subunit ribosomal RNA", at positions 1 to 96 of the family's 1533-position model. The record is from RNAcentral. Lineage: Bacteria; Bacillati; Bacillota; Bacilli; Lactobacillales; Carnobacteriaceae.
UUAUAUGAGAGUUUGAUCCUGGCUCAGGACGAACGCUGGCGGCAUGCCUAAUACAUGCAAGUCGAACGCACGAAGUUGAAAAGCUUGCUUUUCGACCAAGU